CCUACGGGAGUCAGCAGUGGGGAAUAUUGCACAAUGGGGGAAACCCUGAUGCAGCGACGCCGCGUGAGUGAAGAAGUAAUUCGUUAUGUAAAGCUCUAUCAGCAGGGAAGAAAAUGACGGUACCUGUGGAAGAAGCCCCGGCUACUAUGGGUCAGGCGCCGCGGUAAUCCGUAGGGGGCGAGCGGUAUCCGGAUUUACUGGGUGUAACGGGAGCGUAGACUGGAGUGCAAGUCUGGAGUGAAAGGUGGGGGCUCAACCCCCGGACUGCUCUUGAAACUGUACGGCUUGAGUGCAGGAGAGGUAAGUGGAAUUCCUAGUGUAGCGGUGAAAUGCGUAGAUAUUAGGAGGAACACCAGUGGCGAAGGCGGCUUACUGGACUGUAACUGACGUUGAGGCUCGAAAGCGUGGGGAGCAAACAGGAUUAGAUACCCCAGUAGUC
RNAcentral lists this ribosomal RNA (439 nucleotides) under uncultured bacterium. RNAcentral's name for it is "partial 16S ribosomal RNA". It matches the Rfam family "Bacterial small subunit ribosomal RNA", at positions 338 to 795 of the family's 1533-position model. The record is from RNAcentral.